UUGGUGCUUUCUCUGUUAAUCCACAGGUAAAGCAAAACGUAGCUUUUCUAACUUUAUGUUGGUACGGUAUUAACUGUAUGAGUACAGUGUUAAGUAUUUUUGUGAUGUGUACAAGUGUGUUGAAACGUGUAUUAAGGUAAACGAGUGCUGGCUCAAUGCCAAAAGGCUCAGCGUGUUGUUGCUAACUAAGAAGCACUAUGGUUUUCAUUUAACUGUCAGUGUUGUACAAUGGCAUCAACUGUGUUCAGUAAAGUCGAUGUGUUCUACAUAUUAUCCAGUCUUAGCUUGCUAGAAGUGAGUAAAUGUUAUUUUUUUUUGCAAGAAGCUCCAUGUUAUGCUAGUUUCUAGUAGUCUAGCACACUCCCGGGUAAAAUAGCACUGCUGGUAAAGUGUAUGUGUGUGUGUGUGUGUGUGUGUGUGUGUGUGUGUGUGUGUGUGUGUGUGUGUGUGUGUGUGUGUGUGUGUGUGUGUGUGUGUGUGUGUGUGUGUGUGUGUGUGUGUGUGUGUGUGUGUGUGUGUACAUGUGAAUGACAGGGUAUAACAGCAAAUGAUGAGUAAAUGUCUUAGUAAAUAUGAGUUGUUAUUUUGCUGUGUUUUAUGAGUUCAGCCUUAUGAGUUUAUGUUAAUUCAUUGUAGAUUCAUGUGCUCUUAUUUGGCUUGAAGAGUGUUGUGUAUAAUUUCUUAUUAUUUUGUUACCCAAAUUGCUGUUCUAUUUAUGAGAUAUUGUGUGUAUGAGAUGUAGAGAAGCCACACUUUAACUGGAAAGCCUAUUAUGGGAAAUGUAAUUAAUUGAUUGUUGUUUGUUAGUUGUUUAUAAUGAUGCGCAGAACAGAAAUAAAUGCAUGAGGAAGACACUAACUUGGUGCUCUCUCUGUUAAUCCACAGCCAUUAAUUACUUCCGGUUACACAGUGUUUCCUGGCCUGUGUAAUCUUUGCUGCCGGUCCAGAUUACCCCUAGGUCUGGUGCCGGUAACACAUGCAUAACACGCACGUGCUCAGCGCAAGGCCUGCCAGGAUGUUGUGGAGGGGAUGAUUGCAUGUCCAACCUCCUGCCAAGCCCUGAACUAACCUUGUUCAUCACCUACUGCAGCCGCCCAGGGACCUCCUCCUCUAGGCUGCCUCCUCAGCAGACUACAGCCACCACCAAGAGACAGCAGUCCAGGAAACCUAUGGUCGACAUCCCAUUACUGAGGGAUUUGUUCAUUGCUCGUCUCAUUGCUGAUGUAUGGACAUGGCUGUGCUUCCCCCACACGAUGAACUCAAACCAAGCAUGGAUUGUACAGAAUGGAAAGUUGUUUAUCAGUGGAAGGAGGUGUGGACAGAUGCCUUAUUUAACACAUCAUCAAGGUCCAACCAGGUGUCUGGAGGCCACAUGGAGUCAAAGUUCUGGACUGUACAGAUCUUGCCCACCUGCUUCACUGUGCAACCAGAGUCCAAAGGUGUCUGUGGACAACAGUGCCUCCUGGUGGUGCAGUUGGACUCCUGCUCAAUCUGUGCUCUAGGUUACUAUACACUGAUCAGGGCCAAAUUGUGAUGACUAGAGGACUGGGUCAGAGCAUCUCCAAAACUGCAGCUCUUGUGGGGUGUUCCUGGUCUGCAGUGGUCAGUAUUUAUCAAAAGUGGUCCACGGAAGGAACAGUGGUGAACAGGCGACAGGGUCAUGGGUGGCCAAGGCUCAUUGAUGCACGUGGGGAGCGAUGGCUGGGAAUAAAGAAUUUUUUAUAAAUGUUUUUGCGGGCCACUGGGACUUUAUAACGUCUGCCUGAUGGAAGUAACUGGAAGGAGUGAUGGAGGGGGUGAGAGGGGUCUUCUGUGAUCAGAGUGGCUUUCUUGAUCACAGAGCGGUUAUACAGUUCAGUGGCAUGAGUUUGUGGUGAACCAAUGAUUUUGCAAGCCUGACUAACAAUAUGGGAGAGUUUUGUGUUUCGUGGAGAGGGAGCUGUGCAAGGAUGAAAUGUUGAAUGUGAGGAUGGAUUCAAUGAGUGAGGUGUAAACCAGGGUUAAAAUGCCUCUGCUGAGUCCUCAGUUUCCUCAGCAGGUGAAGGCGCUGCUGUGCUUUUUUGUCAGGGUGCUCAUGCUGAGCCCUGUGCUUCACCAAAAGCACCAACAAUAGCCACGUAAGCACAUCAGAAAUGGACUACGGAGCAAUGGAAGAAAGUGGCCUGGUCUGAUGAAUCAUGUUAUCUUUUACAUCACGUGGAUGGCCGGGUGCGUGUCUGUCGCUUACCUGAGGAACACAUGGCACCAGGAUGCACUAUGGGAAGAAGCAAGCCGGCAGAGGCAGUGUGAUGCUUUGGGCAGUGUUCUGCUGGGAAACCUUGGGUCCUGCCAUCCAUGUGGAUGUUACUUUGACAUGUACCACCUACCUAAGCAUUUGCAGACCAUGUACACCCUUUGAUGGAAACAAUAUUCCCUGAUGACUGUGGCCUCUUUCAGCAGGAUAAUGUGCCAUGCCACAAAGAAAAAAUGGUUCAGGAAUGGUUUGAGGAGCACAACAAUGAGUUUGAGGUGUUGACUUGGCCUCCAAAUUCCCCAGAUCUGAAUUCAAUCAAGCAUCUGUGCAGUGUGCUGGACAAACAAGUCCGAUCCAUUAAGGACCCACCUCGCAACUUCCAGGACUUAAAAGAUCUGCUGCGAACCUCUUACCACAGCACCAAGGUCUAGUGGAGUCCAUGCCUCGAUGGGUCAGGGCUGUUUUGGCAGCAAAAGAGUGACCAGCACAAUAUUAGGCAGAUGGUCAUAAUGCUGUUGGGUUAUUUUAUACAAUAAUACAGAUUUUAUUCAUUGUAUGUGUUGGUGUAUCCUUUCUUCUCACAGCUAGA
Molecule: long non-coding RNA, 2822 nt
Organism: Amphiprion ocellaris (clown anemonefish)
Lineage: Eukaryota; Metazoa; Chordata; Actinopteri; Pomacentridae
Exons: 5
Source: RefSeq, a predicted model, not a curated record